This 651-nucleotide ribosomal RNA is filed under the name Rheinheimera arenilitoris. Its description in RNAcentral is "bacterial SSU rRNA". It matches the Rfam family "Bacterial small subunit ribosomal RNA", at positions 98 to 745 of the family's 1533-position model. Lineage: Bacteria; Pseudomonadati; Pseudomonadota; Gammaproteobacteria; Chromatiales; Chromatiaceae. The record is from RNAcentral.
GCGGACGGGUGAGUAAUGCGUAGGAAGCUACCCGACAGAGGGGGAUACCAGUUGGAAACGACUGUUAAUACCGCAUAAUGUCUACGGACCAAAGUGUGGGACCUUCGGGCCACAUGCUGUCGGAUGCGCCUACGUGGGAUUAGCUAGUUGGUGAGGUAAUGGCUCACCAAGGCGACGAUCCCUAGCUGGUUUGAGAGGAUGAUCAGCCACACUGGAACUGAGACACGGUCCAGACUCCUACGGGAGGCAGCAGUGGGGAAUAUUGGACAAUGGGCGAAAGCCUGAUCCAGCCAUGCCGCGUGUGUGAAGAAGGCCUUCGGGUUGUAAAGCACUUUCAGUAGGGAGGAAGAGUUGAGUGUUAAUAGUACUCAGCUUUGACGUUACCUACAGAAGAAGCACCGGCUAACUCUGUGCCAGCAGCCGCGGUAAUACAGAGGGUGCAAGCGUUAAUCGGAAUUACUGGGCGUAAAGCGCACGCAGGCGGUUGGUUAAGUCAGAUGUGAAAGCCCCGGGCUCAACCUGGGAAUUGCAUUUGAAACUGGCCAACUAGAGUACGUGAGAGGGGGGUAGAAUUCCAAGUGUAGCGGUGAAAUGCGUAGAGAUUUGGAGGAAUACCAGUGGCGAAGGCGGCCCCCUGGCACGAUACUGACG